This 1270-nucleotide ribosomal RNA is filed under the name metagenome. Its description in RNAcentral is "SSU rRNA". It matches the Rfam family "Eukaryotic small subunit ribosomal RNA", at positions 558 to 1823 of the family's 1831-position model. The record is from RNAcentral.
AGUCUGGUGCCAGCAGCUGCGGUAAUACCAGCUCCAAUAGCGUAUAUUAAAGUUGUUGCAGUUAAAAAGCUCGUAGUUGGGCUUGUGUGCGCUGUCCGCGGGUGGCCUGCGCCCAAAAGGGCGUUUCGGUUCGGCCCCGGUGGCGCCUUGAAAUCUGCAGCUGGGGGGACGUUGGCCUUAACUGGUCGGCGACCGCACGCCGGCUGCUCGGUUACUGUGAGAAAAUUAGAGUGUUCAAGGCAGGCAUUGGGUGCAAUUGAAUACAUUAGCAUGGAAUAAUAAAAUAUGGCUCCUGCCGUAUUUUGUUGGUUUUGACUGGUGGGAGUAAUGAUUGAUAGGGACGGUUGGGGGUGCUAGUAUUGAGCGGCCAGAGGUGAAAUUCAUGGAUUCGCUCAAGACUAACUUAUGCGAAAGCAUUCACCAAGGACGUCCUCUUUAAUCAAGAACGAAAGUUGGGGGAUCGAAGACGACCAGAUACCGUCGUAGUCUCAACCAUAAACUAUGUCGACUUGGGAUCGACGGUAGUUUUUUCAUUAAGACACUGUCGGGACCACGGGAGAAAUCAAAGUGUCUGGACUCUGGGGGAAGUAUGGUCGCAAGGCUGAAACUUGAAGGAAUUGACGGAAGGGCACCACCAGGAGUGGAGCCUGCGGCUUAAUUUGACCCAACACGGGGAAACUUACCAGGUCCAGAGAUGUAGAGGAUUGACAGAUUGAAGCUCUUUCUUGAUCACUUCGGUGGUGGUGCAUGGCCGUUCUUAGUUGGUGGAGUGAUUUGUCUGGUUAAUUCCGUUAACGAACGAGACCUCAGCCUGCUAGUGUAGUCGGCUGGAUUGCCUUUGGCGAUCCGUGAUUUCGACUUCUUAGAGGGACAAUCGACGCGCAGUCGAUGGAAGUUUGAGGCAAUAACAGGUCUGUGAUGCCCUUAGAUGUUCUGGGCCGCACGCGCGCUACACUGCUGGGCUCAGCGAGUUUUACUUGGCCGAGAGGCCCGGUUAAUCUUGUGAAAUCCCAGCGUGCUUGGGCUCGCCUCCUGCAACUGGAGGCGCCAACGAGGAAUUCCUAGUAGACGCAGGUCAUCAACCUGCAUCGAUUACGUCCCUGCCCUUUGUACACACCGCCCGUCGUUCCAUAAGAGUGAGGCAUCCGGUGAAUUCUCGGGAGAGCCUGGGCGUGGCCAGCAAUGGUCUGCUCGGGUUUGAACUUGCAUAAACUUGGUGCCUAUGAUUAGGGAAAAGUCGUAACGAGGUUUCCGUAGGUACCUGCGGAAG